Long non-coding RNA from Siniperca chuatsi (mandarin fish), 2420 nucleotides. RefSeq lists it as uncharacterized. Lineage: Eukaryota; Metazoa; Chordata; Actinopteri; Centrarchiformes; Sinipercidae. The record is from RefSeq and is a predicted model, not a curated record. The transcript is spliced from 2 exons.
CCUCACGCUAGCUGGGUCUAAGCCCCGUAAAGGCUAACACAAGCUCAGUGUAAAAAGUCCUAUAGGGGCCCACCUCUAUCUCCCUCACUACCCCACCAAUCCCCCUCUUCCCUUCUUGUGCUGCCUGACUACACUUUCGCUUCGCAUUACUUCUGCUAUUCUAACUUUUCCACUUCUGAGCACUAUCAAUUAUGCACUAGAAUAACAGUGGGGCCAGGCUUGCCAGCAGGACAUAAAGGCCGAUUAUGAGUGUGAAUAAUUUAGCCAUCUUCGUGCCAUGUUCCUCUUACCAGUGAUACAGACAGGGCUUUGCUGCUAAUGUACGACGGCAGACGCAGUCUGACCUGGCCUUAAUGUAAGGACAGCUCUCUACAUCCCAGAGAAAGGAGAAGAUGGAGAGCUGGAGAGGACAUAAAAAGUGUGGCUGUACUACAUUAUUAAAGCAGCUGUGAACCUGAUGUCGCUCACAGAUUGAUAGUCUGACACUGUCACGAACCUGGCAACUGACACCUGUCAGUCUGUUAACAAGAAGACUGGGAAUCCAGGGCCGAUCUAAAAACAAAUUCAUCAAGAUAUUUAUGUUAUUCAUCUAUUCAAACAACUUAUGGGAAGUACAAACAAGUUACAAACAAAAAAAAAUUUAAAAGAAAAUCCCGAGAGCAGACAAAGAAAACAAACUCCCAUAGAGGGAAUGUGUACAGCCGUGUCAGCCAUCAUGAAUGUUUUUGGUUAAGGUCAUACAAACCAGACGAGCAGACAACCUUCCAUCAACUUCAUGCUAAAAACAUGUCUACCUUGACUUCAUUUUUCAUGAAUUGCGUGCGAAGUUUUGCAAGUGCUACUCUUCUUAGAGAUCACAAACAGUAAUGAAUAUUUCAUCACUCCACCCAAAGCCAAGCACACACUCUAAUCCAAUACGAGAAAUGUGAUUCAUCUCUUUUCCCACAGGCUAACAAUCUAAUUCAACUCUGUACCUCAUAAAAAAUAUUACCACUGAAACAUCUGCAAAUUGUCAGGCUUUUCCAUAAAAGGUAUAAUGAACAGAAGGCAAGUUUGCAUUUUCUAUAGCCAAAUUUUAAACAGGGGAAAGUUUCACAUCUAUUAAAUCUGACUGGGGAAAUAUAUAUAUAUUAAUGAAUAUCUAUUUGAAAAAAAAAAUAAAGUUGAAAUUCAAGAGUAAUUAUUCAAUAUAAAAAGAAAUACACGGGGUGGACAAAAAACGAUGGUAUAAUAAUAACUUGUAUGGUAUGGUAAAACGGUAUGGUACAUAAUUCAUUAAAUAAGAAGGUGUAGUCCCUCAUUCGUCCAGGAGUGUUCCAUCGUAGAAAAGUAUAAAAUUCAUUAGAGGGUUUUUUUUUUAUUGGAUUGCAUUUUACUGUAGGAUGAUAUUAUCAACCAUUAUGUAUAAAUAUUAUAAGUAAAAGCAAAACAAAUACAAUAGUAACAAUUUUGAGAAUUUCUCUAUACACAAUUGUAAAAUUGAAUAAAAUUGAAUAUUAAAAAAACAGCAGCUGCUAGUUCUUGUAAUAAUUUAGUGAAUUUUAGUUGUUAAAUGUUAAAUGUUUUUUUUUUUUUUUUUUUUUUUAAUUGUACAAUGAUGUACUAAAAGUUUGUUAAUAUGUAGUAUGUUAGUAUGUAAUCUUAAACGUGUUAACGAUUUCUCUUUUUAAAUUGUGUAUUAUGUGUCAAAUCGCUCGUAGGAACCACAAAUUAUGAAAGUGAAUUUUGCACAAAAUGUUAAAAAUGUCAAAGGCAUAACCUUAAAAUAGCCAGGCCAAACACUAUGGCGUUUCUGAAAAAAAGCCCCUUCACUCCUUCUUAUUUGUGCUUCCGUUUGUCAUGCACGCUCUAAUCCUGGCUGGAAUGUCCCCGGCCGUGGAGUCCUGCGGCCCUGAGGAACAGAACAGCAGGUGAAACUGAAGUCUCUGAGGACUUGUCCCGCCUCACAGCUACUCCAGUAGUUCUACUGUAGAUUCAACCAGAACCCCUGUUACACAAGAGCCCAAAUAUGCACGAAAACUAUUCUGUUUUCCCUGAAGCAGGAAUGUGCUUUUAAUGGAACGAAACAAAAUUUAAAUAAUAAUUUUUUUUUAAAACCUAAUCAUAUACAUUUUUAAACAACCUGGUAUUCUUUAAUGUCUGUCUUCAUUGUUCCUGUCCUAUCUGAUCCCUGACUUCCAUACCUGGUGAAUUAUGGGCAGAUUAUUACAGAUUAUAGAUUAUUUAAUUUGCCUAAGAAGGUUGUCCUUGCUGAGUAGCUUUAAUCACUGUUGCCUAGUUAAUGUAAUUUUUUAAUGUCUCAAAAUCUGAACAUUUCAAAUCAAUAACUGAUUUAAUGCCAUAUUUACCGCUUUGUGUCUGGCUGGUGCCACAUUUUUCUUGGCUUGGCCACCAUGUUUCAUCACACAUACACACACACA